ACAUUUUCUUAUUUGGUCUUACCUUGUGAAGAGUGGGGGGGGGUUCCUCUUCCAAUUAGACCAAGGUUUUCCUUACAGUUCUAGUCUUCCCUCCCCAAAUGUUUUCUGAAACAUUUCGUAGAUUUGUGGGAUGUAAGCAAAGUCACUUUAUUUUUUUCUAAAUAAAAUUAAUCUGUCUCUAAGCCUCUUCCUGUUGAGACAACAGGAAGUUCAGUCGGUGAUUAUUUCCAUCAGUUCACAGAUGUGUAAAAGUCUUAGAGGAAGGUUAUACAAAGCAACAUUCAGGGAGAUCCCUGGUCUUCAGUUAUUCGACAAAUGUUUAAGUGCCUGCUGUGCCAGUUUUGGAGGUGAGAAAUCCAAAAUCAUUUUACUGCACAAAAGUCAAAGUGUUGACAGAACAAGAACCUCAGUCCUAUAGCUUCAAGGAACUGAAUUCUGCCAACAACCAGUGAGCUUAGAAGAGCAUUGUGAAUGCAGAUGAGAUAGCAGCCCAGGCUGACAUGUUGACUGCAGCCUUGUGAGAUCCGAACAGAGUACUCAGCCAAGCUGUACCUGGAUUCCAGACCCAUGGAAACUAUUGCAACAGUUUUUAGAAAUGAUCAGAGUCCAGUGACAAGCAACAAAACCCGCGGCUGAGUCUCACUCCCAUUUCCUGAUGUCUUCAUCUUCCUCCCCAUUUGUCUUAUCAUUGCUAUUCUGUGUACCAAGCCAAGAGCCCAAAAACAACUGAGUAAAAUAAGUCAAGUGUUCACAUAUGUUGAUUUCCAAAAAAGCCAACCAAAACAGAAAUGAACUAAAAAGGAAAAAAUAUUAAAAAUUCUCCUAAAUCAUUUACUUUUCAAUGGGCCUCCAUUUUAGAUUUCUAGUAUAUGUUCUUUCUGAAGCUCCUGUCUUCCAGGCUCACAGAAUGUGCAGUGGCAGCUUUUAUCUUUUCGAGUGUGUCCAAGUUUAAGGUUUGAAGUAAUUAUGAAGAACAUCUGACUAGGAGAAAAACAAAACCCAAUAAGAAAACAACUUGUGAAAAGGGGAGAAAAGUCAAGUAUGGUCGACCCUGAUAUGCACCAUGAAGAACCCUCUUCAAGGAAAGAUUUGCUGACCAGCAGUAGGAAAUGCAACCAGUAGACAGCCUCCAGCUGUCAGCUUCUUCAGGAUCUGCCACAGCUGCAGAGUCUCUGCCUGAACCAUGCCCUUCUUGGGGCAGUCUGGAUCUGGUGACUGAACAUGGGCUGGUCAUUUUUUUUCGGGGAUAUAAAGUCCCAGGCAGUUAUUUUGGGCCAAUGCCAAAGGACAUUUUUCACUCCAGAGCUCCCCACUAGGCUGGCCUAUGUUGCAGUUUGACUUUUCCCUCUGCCAAUCCUGCCCCCCCCACCACUUUCUGUCACAGGUGUUGAUUUUAAUAAACAUCUUGUGCCCCAAA
Molecule: long non-coding RNA, 1417 nt
Organism: Myotis davidii
Lineage: Eukaryota; Metazoa; Chordata; Mammalia; Chiroptera; Vespertilionidae
Exons: 5
Source: RefSeq, a predicted model, not a curated record